RNAcentral lists this long non-coding RNA (887 nucleotides) under Fragaria vesca (wild strawberry). RNAcentral's name for it is "long non-coding RNA (FVES_LNC001260)". The record is from RNAcentral. Lineage: Eukaryota; Viridiplantae; Streptophyta; Magnoliopsida; Rosales; Rosaceae.
GAGAACUGACAAAGAUCAUCACCUUUUAGGUGGGUUAAAAGUUGAAGAACACACACAAGCAAUCAAAAACUUGCGAGGGAAAAUCAGUAUGCAUGUGAAUGAAGUACUGUAAUCUUUCUGGUAUAUAAAAACCCUAGUUAAAAACGUAGAUCUCUGUUGAACUGUAUGUACUUAUAUGCAUGAAUAUAUAUAUAUAGUUCCAUUCUAGAGCGGUGUUCCGUUUUGAAAUUAAAAUAUGGACCUUCUUAUUUCGCUUAGUUUCAGUUCGCAUUUCCACAUCUCAACCGUACAAUGUUUAGAACACAGUGUAUAGAUCAUUUCUGCAAAGUUUUAUCCAAUUUGAAGAUCAUUUGAGCUUCCGUAAUCGUGAUUUACACAAACGGUUCUGUUGAUUUAUUUAAUCUAAUUCGGUACCCAAAUGAUCUUCAAAUUGGAUGAAACUUUGCAGGAAUGAUCUACACACAGUGUUCUAGACAUUGUACGGUUGAGAUGUGGAAAUGCGACCUGAAAAUGAGCGAAAUAAGGAGGUCCACACUUUAAUUUUAAAGCGGGACACCGCUCUGAAAGGGAACUAUAUAUAUACAUACAUAUGUAUAUAGGGCCCUUCCAUUGAGGGAUCCCUAUUUUUGACUAUUUCUAAGGAUAGGGCAUUACACCAACUUCCUGAUCAAAUUUUUGCAUUUACACCGUUCAAUUCAUUGGGUUAUAUGAAUAGAUAUAUCUACUGGUGAAGCUUCUAUUCCAAUUGUAAUUUUAUAUAAAUUAUUUGUAAUAUAUGUAUGACAUUUCCUUUUCUGAACAGGGUUAUAGCAGAUGUCGUUAUCCCAACUGAAAGUCCAUAUAAUGUUAACAAUAUAUUGGUCACUAAACUUUGGAUUAUUCUUUUC